Diceros bicornis minor is the source of this 709-nucleotide long non-coding RNA. RefSeq lists it as uncharacterized. The transcript has 4 exons. Lineage: Eukaryota; Metazoa; Chordata; Mammalia; Perissodactyla; Rhinocerotidae. The record is from RefSeq and is a predicted model, not a curated record.
CAGCACUGGGAGCCCAGUCACUGCUCGACUAGCUGCACUCCUACUGCUUCUGCUCCCGGGGGAACAGGAGCACGGGUACCGCCUGUGGGAGCAGGUAGAGAAGGACCGAGAGCUGAAGAGGGACAGCAGCCGACAGCCGGGUGCACACUCUGCAGGAGGAGCUGGACGAGCUGAAGGGAGGGGGCUCCCUAACUGAGCAGCCUGCUGCCCCCCGCCGAGCGCCAGCUGCAGAGCUCCAGCUGGUGGCAGAAGCAGAGUAGUGGGCAGUGGUGGAGGUAGAGCUGGCUCCAGCUCCGUUGACACCACCCCCUCUAGCGCUGGAGCCAGCGUCCCCUCCACCAGCAGUGUUGGAGCUGGAGCAAGGACCAACAUGGGCUCCAGCAGGAGUGGGAGCUGCUGAGAUGGAGUCACCUGGACCAUCAUUUCUAGUGGGAAGUCCAUCUCCACCUGUGGCUAAGAAGCCUGAAAGAAGCCUAACCUCACGGCCUUCCCUCCUAAGCUGGUGGUGGAGCAGUUGACCGUGAUGGAUGCGGAGUGCGAGAUCCUGAAGAACUUCUCACCGCGCUCUGUCAUCUCUGCUCUGCAGAAAACAUCCAUAUGCCACCUGAAGAACACAUGGGGGAGGUUUCCUGGGAAAGCUCUGAAAAACUUAAGGAGCGCUAUAGCCAAGACGAGUCCUUAAGCAGAGAACUGAUGACCAAGGUAGAGU